RNAcentral lists this long non-coding RNA (689 nucleotides) under Mus caroli (Ryukyu mouse). RNAcentral's name for it is "lncRNA (MGP_CAROLIEiJ_G0003130.1)". The record is from RNAcentral. Lineage: Eukaryota; Metazoa; Chordata; Mammalia; Rodentia; Muridae.
AGGGGGAAAUGAACUCAACCAGGAAGCUAGAAGGGAAAGAAGGAUAGAGGGGAGAGAAAGAGAUAAUCUAUCCACAAAUCUAAUAUCUACUGACAAAUAGCAACCAACCCACCUGAAUGACCAACAACCAUCAACCUCACCUCGCAGGAAGUACCACCUCUGCUGAUUCCUGUUUGCUAUCCAAAUUCUACUGAACUGGACUGCUGGUGUAUUGGUGAAGUGUUUGUGAGUGGAUUGAGCUGUUGCCAUUGGCCUGUGAAUGAACUGCUGAUUUCCAGACAACACAGAUAAGAGUUCCUUCAAAGAACCCUUCCUAAACAGGUGACAGUUCAUGAAAGCUCCACUCGUGGACCUCUAUGCACAACUUGAUGGUCACUCAACAGAGGCAAGAAUCUCCUCUUGACAGUGCUGUUGGUCAGUCUCAUCCCUCAACAGUUGUUUCCUGUUCACCAAGUUGGGCUCAUGAGCCUUCACCUCCCUCCUACAGAUUAUGUUUCAAUUUGAGGUACCAUACAGCAGCAGAGGCAGACCUGAUAGAUCUUCACUUGCUGACAUUCACUUCCUAACUUGCUGCCUCACCCUUAGACAAGCAUGAUGUCCCAGCCAGAAGAGGAUGUUCAUCUACUACCCACUUCAAAGCACUGAUGUAUGCUAAGGGUUCAAUAAACAUCUGAAAAUAUUCAUCGCUG